GAAAAAGGGACUUUUUUUUGUUGCUGAGUUUAUUUAUAUAAAUCAUGUAAUGUAGUCUUCGUUUUUCAUCUGCUAGCCAAGUUACAUAGCCUGUAAUGUUAGCUGAUAAUUGUUGUAUAAUUGUUGCUAUGAUUUAGCUAACGCUAGCUAGUUAAAGUUACUGUAACGUAUAGUAUGUCCUCAUUUAAACCCAUGAUACAGUCUCUCGCCAUCUCCUUCCAGCCUCCUCUCUUUAAGACCUGUCUUAUCAUGGGCCUGUCCAGUUAAGUUGUAGAGAGUGUGGGUGCUGUGAGAAACUCAGCCUCCACAAACAGGUAUGACACACACACAAUACACACACUCAGCCCACACACUCUGGUUGAAUCAACAUUGUUGAACCAAUGUGGAAUAUAUGUUGAAUUGACAUACUGUAUGUGCCCAGUGGGACAGAUAGAAAGAGAGAUGACCCAAUCUAGGUUGUUAAAACUUGACAAAAACAUUUUUUUUUAUAGAUGUUUGUCACGUCCUAACCAUAGAGAGAUUGUAUUUUUCUAUGGUAGAGUAGGUCAGGGUGUGACUGGGGGGUUUUGUCUAGUUUAUUUAUUUAUAUGUUUGAUUCUAGUUUCUUUUUUCUAUGUUGCGGUUUUUGUCUAGUUUAAAUUUUCUAUGUUGUGUUCUAGGUUCUUUUUUCUAUGUUUUUUUUGUCUGAUUCCCAAUUAGAGGCAGCUGGUCAUCGUUGUCUCUAAUUGGGGAUCAUAUUUAAGUUGUUGUUUUUCCCACUAGUGUUUGUGGGAGAUUAUUUUGAGUUUAUGCAUGUAGCACCGCUUCGUCACAGUUUGUUGUUUUUGUUUAUAGUUUAUUGUCUGUCUUGCAUAGUUUCACAUAGAAAUAAAGAUGUGGAACGAUACGCACGCUGCGCCUUGGUCUCUUUCAUACGACAGCCGUGAUAAUGUUACAUUUUAUAUCAACUACUCAUGUUGAAUUUGUCUAAUUUAUGUAUUGGGGCAGCCUGUUCUGUCCUCAGUAUUUCAGACCAAAGCAAGACAAUGUUUAAAGCUGUGGAUCUACAAACAGGUAUCACACUACCCGGCAAUACAUGGAUGUGUGCACGGCACUCAUUCAAAAGUACUCCUCGUUGAGAGACCAGAUGGGGAAGGGAUAUUUCUCAAAGUCACUGCAGCCAUUUUCCCCCUCCCCUACCUCAAAGAUGAUCCAAGUGGGCUGAAUGUCACACGACAGUACAAAGUUAGUCGUUAUACAGUGUAAGGUGUGCUCAGUUGUUAACUUACGGUUUGAAAUAUGACUUGAGUAACCUUUAAUAUAUAUUUUUAAUUCCAUCACCUACCAUACCAUAAGGAUAGAGGGGAAUCCCUUUGCGAAUGAGAACCACGUCCAACUCUUCCUGGAUGGACAGGAGCUAAUAACUGAAGAGCCGGAGGACAUCUCCAUGGGGAUGGCAAUGGAGAUCCGUUUCCUUUUUAAAUUACAGCUAAUGUCAGGGUUAAUUCAACAAGAGAAAAGCUGCUAAAUAGACAGUUGAAAAUAAAAAGAAGAGAGAUGUAAUGUUUGAGAAAGAUUUGGUGAAGUGGUAACAGAGCACUGCAAGAAAUGCUUCAUUCUGCAGGAGUUAUUAUUAAGGCUAUGUGAAAGGAUAUAGACCGACAGUCAGUGUCCAGAUUUCAGUUAUCAUUUAACCUAUCUGAACAGUAGGUUACAGUUCCCAUGACGUGCCAUAGGACUAUUUGAAGUCCCAGUCAGUUGACUGUUGAAUUUCUAUAGCACAGGAGCUCUUCGGAGCCCUCUACAUUGUUAAAAAAUGUGUAUGGCGAAAUAGUAUGGAGCUCAAUUUGGCCUCUGCAUGCCUUCAGAGGCUCCACAAUUGCAUCAAACCCUCCAUAUGAAGCCUCCGACCACAUUUACG
Molecule: long non-coding RNA, 1900 nt
Filed under: Salmo salar (Atlantic salmon)
Lineage: Eukaryota; Metazoa; Chordata; Actinopteri; Salmoniformes; Salmonidae
Description: lncRNA (ENSSSAG00000119560.1, ENSSSAG00075045825.1)
Source: RNAcentral